Molecule: ribosomal RNA, 253 nt
Filed under: uncultured bacterium
Lineage: Bacteria
Description: partial 16S ribosomal RNA
Rfam family: Bacterial small subunit ribosomal RNA
Source: RNAcentral
UACGUAGGUGACCAGCGUUGUCCGGAUUUACUGGGCGUAAAGAGCACGCAGGCGGUCGUUCAAGUCGAGUGUGAAAGCCCCCGGCUCAACUGGGGAGGGUCAUUCGAUACUGAUCGACUCGAAGGCAGGAGAGGGAAGCGGAAUUCCCGGUGUAGUGGUGAAAUGCGUAGAUAUCUGGAGGAAUACCGGUGGCGAAGGCGGCAUCCUGGACCGACAUUGACGCUGAGGAGCGAAAGCCAGGGGAGCAAACGGG